GAUGAACGCUGGCGGCGUGCCUAAUACAUGCAAGUCGAGCGAACGGACGAGAAGCUUGCUUCUCUGAUGUUAGCGGCGGACGGGUGAGUAACACGUGGAUAACCUACCUAUAAGACUGGGAUAACUUCGGGAAACCGGAGCUAAUACCGGAUAAUAUUUUGAACCGCAUGGUUCAAAAGUGAAAGACGGUCUUGCUGUCACUUAUAGAUGGAUCCGCGCUGCAUUAGCUAGUUGGUAAGGUAACGGCUUACCAAGGCAACGAUGCAUAGCCGACCUGAGAGGGAGGUCGAGCAGCCUGGAUCUGAGACACGGUCCAGACUCCUACGGGAGGCAGCAGUAGAGAAUCUUCCGCGAUGGGCGAAAGCCUGACGGAGCAACGCCGCGUGAGUGAUGAAGGUCUUCGGAUCGUAAAACUCUGUUAUUAGGGAAGAACAUAUGUGUAAGUAACUGUGCACAUCUUGACGGUACCUAAUCAGAAAGCCACGGCUAACUACGUG
Molecule: ribosomal RNA, 497 nt
Filed under: uncultured bacterium
Lineage: Bacteria
Description: partial 16S ribosomal RNA
Rfam family: Bacterial small subunit ribosomal RNA
Source: RNAcentral